This 73-nucleotide transfer RNA is filed under the name Trichonephila clavata. It matches the Rfam family "tRNA". Rfam says of the family: Transfer RNA (tRNA) molecules are approximately 80 nucleotides in length. Their secondary structure includes four short double-helical elements and three loops (D, anti-codon, and T loops). The record is from Rfam by way of RNAcentral. Lineage: Eukaryota; Metazoa; Arthropoda; Arachnida; Araneae; Nephilidae.
AUCCCUGUAGCGCAAUGGAUAGCGCGUUGGACUUCUAAUCCAAAGGUCGUGGGUUCGAAUCCCUCCUGCGAUA